Molecule: ribosomal RNA, 482 nt
Filed under: uncultured bacterium
Lineage: Bacteria
Description: bacterial SSU rRNA
Rfam family: Bacterial small subunit ribosomal RNA
Source: RNAcentral
GAUGAACGCUAGCUACAGGCUUAACACAUGCAAGUCGAGGGGCAGCGAGAAAGUGCUUGCACUUUUGUCGGCGACCGGCGCACGGGUGAGUAACACGUAUGCAACCUGCCCUUGUCAGGGGGAUAAGCGGGGGAAACCCCGUCUAAUACCGCAUAUAUGAUUUGGAGGCAUCUCUGAAUCAGGAAAGAAUUAUCGGACAAGGAUGGGCAUGCGGGACAUUAGGUAGUUGGGGGUGUAACGGACCACCAAGCCGACGAUGUCUAGGGGUUCUGAGAGGAAGGUCCCCCACACUGGUACUGAGACACGGACCAGACUCCUACGGGAGGCAGCAGUGAGGAAUAUUGGUCAAUGGGCGCAAGCCUGAACCAGCCAAGUAGCGUGAAGGAAGACUGCCCUAUGGGUUGUAAACUUCUUUUGCGAGGGAGCAAUAAGGCGCACGUGUGCGUCGAUGAGAGUACCUCGCGAAUAAGCAUCGGCUAACU